GGGGUCAUAGCUCAGUUGGUAGAGCGCCGCCCUUGCAAGGCGGAGGUCUGGGGUUCGACUCCCCAUGGCUCCA
This 73-nucleotide transfer RNA is filed under the name Actinomadura rugatobispora. RNAcentral's name for it is "tRNA-Ala". It matches the Rfam family "tRNA". From Rfam's summary of the family: Transfer RNA (tRNA) molecules are approximately 80 nucleotides in length. Their secondary structure includes four short double-helical elements and three loops (D, anti-codon, and T loops). Further hydrogen bonds mediate the characteristic L-shaped molecular structure. tRNAs have two regions of fundamental functional importance: the anti-codon, which is responsible for specific mRNA codon recognition, and the 3' end, to which the tRNAs corresponding amino acid is attached (by aminoacyl-tRNA synthetases). tRNAs cope with the degeneracy of the genetic code in two manners: having more than one tRNA (with a specific anti-codon) for a particular amino acid; and 'wobble' base-pairing, i.e. permitting non-standard base-pairing at the 3rd anti-codon position. The record is from RNAcentral. RNAcentral also lists the same sequence under 4 other names. Lineage: Bacteria; Bacillati; Actinomycetota; Actinomycetes; Streptosporangiales; Thermomonosporaceae.